CCUCCCUCUAGUCACAGGAAAAUACCUUGAUUCUCUGCAAGAUUCACAGCACCUAGUUUAAGCCAGGUGAGAUCAUCCAGGGAAAGAUGAUCCAAACUUUGAUACAACCCCAUGCCCUAAUGCUGCUGCUGCUGUUUCAGGGGCUGAUGAGGAGUUCUUUCUCUUUGAUGGAGGUUCCUGAGAUGAAAUUUGAAGAAAUAGAACCAAUGCCUGAAACAUUGAAUUACCUAGAAAGAAGAUUCAAAGUCUAUUUUGGUGACUACCCCAUCAAAAACAUUACGGCCAUGGAGUACUGUAACCAAAUGGUGAGAAGUAGACAUGUCAUGGAUCCUAUAAACAUAUGUAAGUCACACCAUUACUUCUUUCACCAACCAUGGUUCAUACUCGAAAGCCUUUGUGAGUAUGAGCAAUAUCCAUGCUCAAAGCUAGAAGGCAACUGCCAUCUGACCAAAAAAAUUGAGAUUACACAUUGUGAGUUAACUGCAGGAAUAACUUAUCCUAAUUGUGUCUACUCAUCUAAGAAGAAAAAUAAACCACUGGUAAUCCGCUGUGUUGAAGCAAUGGGUACAAAUAUCCAUGUUCCUCUGGAGGUGGACAAAAUUUUUGAAUAAUCCAGGGGCAGAUGAGGCCAAGCAGACAUGCAAAGGGUCCUGAGUCCCAUAUCUCCCCUCCAAUUCCAGUGAAAUCUCUUCAGAUAUGUAGGACAAAAAGAUAUAAUACAAAGUCAGUCUUCCCCAUAGUGUUCCUUGAUGAUGGAAACCAAACCUAUUGAAUUCUGCUCCUAAGGCUCCAUUCAUUUCCAGCUCCCAAUGGACUAAGUCCAUAGCAACUCUAGAAGAUGAUGAGAACUGCAGCCACAAUAGUUCCAGGUGAAGAGGAUGCACCUGAAAUAUACUUUUGACUAACUGUGGAAUAGUCAGUACAGCAAACUGAAAUUCUUCUUUAGUUUAAAACCCUGAUUCUCACCUGAUAUUAUGAAUUUCAACUGGAGAAUGCUACUGGACUUCAUUAUACUUCUUCAGAAAUUUCAAGCAACUAGCUCAUCCAAGUUUCAAAUUAUCAUCCCUAGUCUCCAACUUUUUUACUUAUAUUAUGAUGCUUUUAUUAAAAUGUCUUGGAAUGAAAUUCCCCUCCCCACCUUUUUUUUUCAAAAAAGAAAGAUUUAACUAGCACAAUGGGAACCAAGGAAUUUGGAGUUCCAAAACCAGCUCCAUCAAAGCUUCACUUCUACCUUUUCAUUGGCAUCCAUAGGUGGGUCAAAAGAUAAGAUUGUGAGGCAAAAAUUCAGGGGUUUCCUAGUCUAAAUACCUGACAAUGGAGGAUAAAAGCAAAUGGAAGGGGAAAUAACUUUCAGAAUUGGAUUCUGAGUUCUUUGUUGAACUGAAUGAUUUAGUUAAGAUUAAAAAAUUGCAC
Molecule: long non-coding RNA, 1413 nt
Filed under: Sarcophilus harrisii (Tasmanian devil)
Lineage: Eukaryota; Metazoa; Chordata; Mammalia; Dasyuromorphia; Dasyuridae
Description: lncRNA (ENSSHAG00000028554.1)
Source: RNAcentral